This is a non-coding RNA of Mus musculus (house mouse), 146 nucleotides long. The record is from Rfam. Lineage: Eukaryota; Metazoa; Chordata; Mammalia; Rodentia; Muridae.
AUAUUCCGACAAUGGACAAAGAGACACCUUGGUGGUGGUGGUGGUGUUCUUAUAUCAGUCAGAAGCAGAAAGAUGGCAGUCCUUUGUUCAUCCUAGUUUGAUGCCUGGCUUGGUGGCCAAAGGUGUUUUGUGCCUAGAACUUAUAA